Molecule: long non-coding RNA, 234 nt
Organism: Saccostrea cuccullata (small rock oyster)
Lineage: Eukaryota; Metazoa; Mollusca; Bivalvia; Ostreida; Ostreidae
Exons: 2
Source: RefSeq, a predicted model, not a curated record
ACUAACAUUAGUAAGACAUCUAUAAAAUAGUGAUAGUCUCAAACUAUAGAUUUAAAAAAAAAAGCUCUUUCACAUCACUGAUUUGAUACUGACAUGCUACUGAUUUGAUACUGACAUAACAUAGUCUUCACUUUGGUCAACACUGAUUUACAAUCUCAUGUCAUGAUGAAAGCACACUACAUUUCAGUGUAAUAAGCAGUAACAAAUUGUACCUAUGUCAACAUUAUUGAAAAA